AACGCGAAGAACCUUACCUACUCUUGACAUCCAGCGAACUUAGCAGAGAUGCUUUGGUGCCUUCGGGAACGCUGAGACAGGUGCUGCAUGGCUGUCGUCAGCUCGUGUUGUGAAUGUUGGGUUAAGUCCCGCAACGAGCGCAACCCUUAUCCUUUGUUGCCAGCGAUUCGGUCGGGAACUCAAAGGAGACUGCCGGUGAUAAACCGGAGGAAGGUGGGGAUGACGUCAAGUCAUCAUGGCCCUUACGAGUAGGGCUACACACGUGCUACAAUGGCGCAUACAAAGAGAAGCGACCUCGCGAGAGCAAGCGGACCUCACAAAGUGCGUCGUAGUCCGGAUCGGAGUCUGCAACUCGACUCCGUGAAGUCGGAAUCGCUAGUAAUCGUAGAUCAGAGUGCCACGGUGAAUACGUUCCCGGGCCUUGUACACACCG
This 433-nucleotide ribosomal RNA is filed under the name uncultured bacterium. RNAcentral's name for it is "bacterial SSU rRNA". It matches the Rfam family "Bacterial small subunit ribosomal RNA", at positions 958 to 1392 of the family's 1533-position model. The record is from RNAcentral.